This is a long non-coding RNA of Haliotis rubra (blacklip abalone), 382 nucleotides long. RefSeq lists it as uncharacterized. The record is from RefSeq and is a predicted model, not a curated record. The transcript has 2 exons. Lineage: Eukaryota; Metazoa; Mollusca; Gastropoda; Lepetellida; Haliotidae.
GCUCAACUGGCGGAGAUUAGGAAGGUCACUUUGUCUCGUGUCCUGUGUGACAACACCAAUACCUUCCAUGUCCAGAGAGAUGCAUUCAGAGUCCAGUCCCAAGCGAAUCCCAGCGUUCCAUGUUACAGCAUCCCUCGCCUUGACCUGACCAUGUGGACAGAACAACAGCCACGCUGGUCAAACUGGUCGGCCCCGUCACUCUGUAGAAGCGGAAGUAAAUUCCAGUUCCGGAGGAGGGUGUGCAUGCCGAAAAACGGAGGGUGUGUCGGACCGCGGGAAGUGUGGAGGUUCUGUCCGACACAUGGCUAGCGGGACCGGAUAGUCUUGAAUAAUUAUCGCCUGGGUUGUGUUUUUGUUGAGUAAUAAAAACAUUGUACAAGUA